Long non-coding RNA from Pipistrellus kuhlii (Kuhl's pipistrelle), 1550 nucleotides. RefSeq lists it as uncharacterized. Lineage: Eukaryota; Metazoa; Chordata; Mammalia; Chiroptera; Vespertilionidae. The transcript has 2 exons. The record is from RefSeq and is a predicted model, not a curated record.
AGUGAAAUUGGGCUUUACUCCCAAGCUCAUCGACAAGGAAUAGACCAAUAUAAUUUAACUCAGAGAUUCCAAAAACCUGUCCUUUUGACUCUUCUUAAGCAUUUAAACAGCAUGAAACAUAAUAAGUAGAAGACAAACUUUUAGGGGAAAACCUGAUACUAUGCCUGGAAAGAACUCCACUCUCUUGCUGCCUCUGGGCUUGUGAAACCUACCAGUAGGAACUUCCUAAGGAAGUUGUUCUUUAUUUCCUCACGAUUCUUAUCCAGAAGCAGCCACAGGCAUUUAAUCCAGACUCUGUGGGUAGCUUUAUAUCCUUACAUUGCAACAAUUUGGAUAAGGAGCAAGAGGAUAAGGAGUAGGGCUGAGGGAAAGGUUAUUAGCAUUCCAUAAAUCCUUGGUAAGUAAAAUAGGAAGAGAUUAAGAUCAGUUUAAUUACGGAAGUGAAUAGGAAUGUCAGAUUUGUUAGAACUGCCAAAUUAUGAGGUCAUCUCUAAUUAUAAUCUCAUAACUCCUCAAAGCAGGGGCCCAGAUAAGGGAAAAGUCUUCAGUGCUUUUUUGCUAAGCCCUUUAAGUAGAUCCCAAGUGCACAGUAGGCUGAAAAGAUUUCCACCAACUCACCCUGUGUGCCCUUUGACUGGCAGCCCCAUCUCAUGGCACUAGCUAUCUGUUCCGCAUUUGGGGCCCACAUAGCCAUAAUUGCCAGAGGCUUACCUUCUCAGGGAUGGGCUGUGGCGGGGAAACGGGUUAGGUGGGUUAAGGAAAGAUUGCAAAGAUCCCCAAGAGCACCUGUGAUAGACAUAACCCUCUGGAUCACACCCCCCAUUGUUAGGAGAGUCUGUUUAAUAUCUAGUUCUUUUCACACCUCCAGUGACCCUAUCCUGUCAUUAAUGAGAAUGAGCACCUGGUAAACAAGAUGCCUUCUGAGGAGUUUGGUAGACCAAAAGCUUCAAAGAAAUAAAGCUACCUUUUAGAGUUUCUAAUACUUAAAUACCAAGUUUCUAAAAUUCUUCCCAAAACUAGAAGAGCAUUCUGCAGUAUAAAUUAACAACUCUGUUAACAGUUUUAAAAUUGUGAGCUACUGAUCUUAUUUAAAUUUUUACUUGGGAAAUUUAAAAUGAGAUGUGAAAAAUGUAAAAAAAAUGUGUAGCACAAAGUACAUAAUUUAAAAGUUUAAAAUCUGGUCACUGUCUAGAAUGGGUUUCUUUUAGGAUCUUAAAUAAUAUUCUUUAGCACCUAUCAGCAAGCCUGUGAUUUCUAUUUUGCAUAAUCAUCUCAGUAUUUUAAACUGGUUAUUUUGGUCUAGCCAGAGAAAAAUUCUAAAUCUCUCAGCCCAAUAAAAUAGCUCUUUAAAAGGUUUUUUUCCCCCCCCCUUAUAAAAAGGCUGAGCUGAUGGUCAAGAUAUAAAUUAUUUGACUUUUUACGUUUCUUGGCAUUAUUAAAUAAGGGGAUAUCUUGCUUCUAUGUGGUAUAUAAUAAUGUGUUCCUUUGGAUUUUUUUUAAUUAAACUUUUAAAACAUUUUUUAGAUAAUUGUAGAGUCACAUGCAAUUGU